UGGGGGAUAUUGCACAAUGGGCGAAAGCCUGAUGCAGCGACGCCGCGUGGGGGAUGAAGGCUUUCGGGUUGUAAACCUCUUUCGCUAUCGAACAAGGCCCGCUUAGGGUGGGUUGAGGGUAGGUGGAGAACAAGCGCCGGCUAACUACGUGCCAGCAGCCGCGGUAAUACGUAGGGCGCGAGCGUUGUCCGGAAUUAUUGGGCGUAAAGGGCUUGUAGGCGGCUUGUUGCGCCUGCUGUGAAAACGCGGGGCUUAACUUCGCGCGUGCAGUGGGUACGGGCAGGCUUGAGUGUGGUAGGGGUGACUGGAAUUCCAGGUGUAGCGGUGGAAUGCGCAGAUAUCUGGAGGAACACCGAUGGCGAAGGCAGGUCACUGGGCCAUUACUGACGCUGAGGAGCGAAAGCAUGGGUAGCGAACAGG
This 420-nucleotide ribosomal RNA is filed under the name bacterium. RNAcentral's name for it is "partial 16S ribosomal RNA". It matches the Rfam family "Bacterial small subunit ribosomal RNA", at positions 355 to 776 of the family's 1533-position model. The record is from RNAcentral.